CCUACGGGAGGCAGCAGUCGAGAAUCAUUCACAAUGGGGGAAACCCUGAUGGUGCGACGCCGCGUGGGGGAAUGAAGGUCUUCGGAUUGUAAACCCCUGUCAUGUGGGAGCAAAUUAAAAAGAUAGUACCACAAGAGGAAGAGACGGCUAACUCUGUGCCAGCAGCCGCGGUACUACAGGGGUCUCAAGGGUUGUUCGGAAUCACGGGGCGUAAAGCGUGCGUAGGGUGGUUCGUAAGUCGUGUGUGAAAGGCGCGGGCUCAACCCGCGGACGGCACAUGAUACUGCGAGACUAGAGUAAUGGAGGGGGAACCGGAAUUCUUGGUGUAGCAGUGAAAUGCGUAGAUAUCGAGAGGAACACUCGUGGCGAAGGCGGGUUCCUGGACAUUAACUGACGCUGAGGCACGAAGGCCAGGGGAGCGAAAGGGAUUAGAUACCCCAGUAGUC
RNAcentral lists this ribosomal RNA (446 nucleotides) under uncultured bacterium. Its description in RNAcentral is "partial 16S ribosomal RNA". It matches the Rfam family "Bacterial small subunit ribosomal RNA", at positions 338 to 795 of the family's 1533-position model. The record is from RNAcentral.